AAACGUCUGGAUACAGGAAAAAUGAACUCCUGAAUUUGGCUCGUGAAGAUAUUUGUUUGACGCAAGCUCUUCUCGGCUUUGGGAAUUUCCUGGCUGACAGCAGUGGGGAAAAUCCACCACAUUUCCAUUAAAAUCUAUCAUUUGUGGAUAUUUCUGCGUAUUUUGUUUCUUUCUUGAAUCAUUACUACAGGAUACUACAAUGCAAUGAUAGUGCACCAUUGUUAAAAUCAGGUGAAUCGAUCAUGAUAAAUGUUGCAGAACUGGUACUAUUUACCAACAUGCCCAAAUUCUCGCAUAUUCUGGGCCUCGCGAGACUUUGAAAGGGGGAAGUAAAAUUUAAAACCAAGACGGAAAAAGUAGUCGUGAUCUUGCGUAUUUGAAGAACAAAUUGAUGAUGCCCUCCGGAAGAGACUAUUGAAUGUCCUUGCCAGUCUCCAAGGGGGUAGUGAUGCUGCAAAAAUAUGCAGAAAGAUAAUGCGGACAUGCAUGACAAAUGGAUGCAUGAGCCAGUUCAGUGGCACUGGCCAAAAGGGCAAGGCUAGAUUUAUGGACACCAAAUUAUUUACUAUUGUUAUAGGUGCUGGAAGAAAAGCUUAAAAAAAAAACAAAUUUCAGUGGAAGAACUAAAGAAUGAGGUGUUAAGAAGUGCCCCGAAUAAACCAGGAGGCUCCAAUUACAUGAAGAAACAAAAGGAAAAGAGGCGGAGGUGCUUGCCUGAAAUCCCAGAGAACAGAGGAUGACUGAUUGUGAGACGUUACAAAUUUCUACACUGUGUUUCGGAAAUUCCAGAGAACAGAGGAUGACUGAUUGUGAGACGUUACAAAUUUCUACACUGUGUUUCGGAAAUCCCAGAGAACAGAGAAUGACUUACAAGACUUUAAAAAUUCCCCACUAUGUUUUUUAAAAUCCAAUGUUACUGUUAUAUUUGCCUUUUUUUCAUAUCUAAAUAGUAAAUAUUUUAAACUCUAAAUAAUAUCUUUUGAAUCCAUAUCUCCACAGGACAGUGGUAUUUAAAUGUCAUUUUGCAUCCAUCGUCAUUCCCACAUGCUAAAAACAAAAAUCAAAGAAUAACAGAAAAGAAAAAAGUAAACACUAAUCAAAUAAGAUUGAAUACAAUGCUUCAUAUAGUUUAUUGCAACUUUUGAAAAUAGGGAUGUUUAAAAAAUGAUAUUUUACCGUUAAAAGUAUCUUAUAACAAUGUUUUGAACACAGUUCAUAAUAUUGUUUUGAAAACAUUUCAUAAUAUUGUUUUGAAAACGUUUUGUUAUAUUAUUAUAAAACAUUUAAUUAAAAUGUUUUUAAAAUGUUUUCAAACAACGUCUUGAAAAUGCUUAAGAGAAAUAUUUUGAAAACGCUUUUACAAAACGAUAAAAAAACGUUUUCGAAAACUGUUUUUCAAAACGUUUCCAUUCUGUUUCUGGCGCCAUACAAAAAAAACGUUUUAAAAACAUUUUUAAAAAAUGUUUUCACGCUUUUAAAAGAAACGUUUCUAAAAUGUUUCUGUAACGUUUCUGUGUUACCUGGG
This is a long non-coding RNA of Ostrea edulis (European flat oyster), 1525 nucleotides long. RefSeq lists it as uncharacterized. The record is from RefSeq and is a predicted model, not a curated record. Lineage: Eukaryota; Metazoa; Mollusca; Bivalvia; Ostreida; Ostreidae. The transcript is spliced from 4 exons.